This is a long non-coding RNA of Serinus canaria (Common canary), 1614 nucleotides long. RefSeq lists it as uncharacterized. Lineage: Eukaryota; Metazoa; Chordata; Aves; Passeriformes; Fringillidae. The record is from RefSeq and is a predicted model, not a curated record. The transcript is spliced from 4 exons.
CCUCCUCAGAGAAAGGUUUAAGGGAAAGGAAGUAAAUUACAAAAGGAUAUAACAAAUGGGGACGACAUAACCUUUUUUGUGGUGAUACUUUUCUCAGCACAUCUGUUUUGAUACCCAGGUUCAGGAGCAACACUCAGCAGAUCUCUUUGCUGCCCACUGCACUUUUCACAAUUGCAGAGUUCUGCGGAAGAACUGCUGAGGUUUGGAUCCUUUCUUGUUUCAUAAGAAGUUUUUCUAAUGCCUGUUCAGUGGUCUGUAUUGCUGUGAAUGAUGCUGGAAUAGUUUGCUCAUCAUUUAAUCUAUGUGCACUGUGUGAGUGUCCCUCACUGGAAAUAUUCAAGAACUGUCUGGACACCAUCCUGUGCCCUGUGCUCUGGGAUGACCCUGAGAAGGGAGCUUGGACCAGAUGAGCACUGUUGACCGUUCCAGCCUGACCCACUCUGGGAUUCUGUGGAUUCUGUGCUUCUGUGAUUUGUACCUGCUGGAUUGUCAAAAGGUAGGUCAUUUGGAAAGUACUUAAUGAUCCUGACGCAAAGAUUGAACUGUAAAUUGACAUCAAGUGUUACUGGACAUAAUUGGAUACAGGAUGGCUUCUGAAACCAAAGCCUGCAGGUCAUUAGGCUGUGAAUUCCAGACACUUUUUGUGACAUCCAUCAUGUUCUAAAUAACGUGUUCAGCCUGAGCUGCAUGUGAUCUCUUGAGAGGUGUUACAAGGGCCUGAGAGCUGGCAGCUGCAGGCACCUGAGGUAACAGGGAAAAUGAAGUCAGUAAAGCUGACAAUGUUUUAUUCCUAUAAAAAUUAGACUACUAAUGAAAAAUGCUUUGAGAAAAUGCAUGUUGUUGAAGUUAAUGUUUUUAGCUGUGCAAUCCAAAACAGAUUGCUAAAUCACUGAAAAAUUUGUAGGUUUAUGAUCUGCUAUCUAUAUGCCAUGUAAAAGCAUAUUUGUUCAUGAAGGUCACCAUGUUCUCUUUUCUUGGAAUUAAGAAGAAAUUAUUCUGUUUAUGCUUGUUUGCUCCUCCUUUAGUAAAUAAUUGCUACUGAUGCUCAUUCUUUCUCCUCAGACAAUUGAUCUUCAUGUGGUGUGUCUGUCUCAUACAUUUGUCACUCUGCUUUUCAUUCUUGUGAGAGAUUAAUUUCCUUCCUCAGACCUUGUCAAUAAUUAGAUUGAGAACAUGCAGAUUGUGCUAGUGCAUCAGGUUAGAAAACUUUAUUUUGACAGAUUAAUCAAGUUGUAUAAUUUUGGAAGAAAACAUGAGUGCUGUCCCAACCACCUACGUUUUGGCAGAAAUCCUGAUGUCAAACAAGCACUCUGAUUUGUGUCAAGAUUUUUGUUUGCUUUGUACCAUAUGGAGAAAAUUCAAAUAAUUUCAUUUUGUAGUCAUUUGAUAGUUCCUGCAUAUCUUGCAAUACUGAUUCAGUGCUGAAACAAAUGCCUAAUUAAAAUGUUAAGGGGGAAAAUGUACUUAAUUAUUUAAGUUCCGUUAUCGGUUAUUAACUUUGUCCCAUUUUCUCUUUCUUCUUUUUGAAUGCUAUUUAAAAUAUUCUACAUUUAACAAUCAGAAUAUUAUUUUUUUGUUCUGUAAGUUAGUAGAAAGACUGAAAAAAACAUUGAU